UACGAAGGGGGCUAGCGUUGCUCGGAAUCACUGGGCGUAAAGCGCACGUAGGCGGACUCUUAAGUCGGGGGUGAAAUCCUGGAGCUCAACUCCAGAACUGCCUUCGAUACUGGGAGUCUUGAGUUCGGGAGAGGUGAGUGGAACUGCGAGUGUAGAGGUGAAAUUCGUAGAUAUUCGCAAGAACACCAGUGGCGAAGGCGGCUCACUGGCCCGAUACUGACACUGAGGCACGAAAGCGUGGGUAGCAAACAGG
RNAcentral lists this ribosomal RNA (253 nucleotides) under uncultured bacterium. RNAcentral's name for it is "partial 16S ribosomal RNA". It matches the Rfam family "Bacterial small subunit ribosomal RNA", at positions 524 to 776 of the family's 1533-position model. The record is from RNAcentral.